RNAcentral lists this ribosomal RNA (480 nucleotides) under Streptococcus sp. oral taxon 064. Its description in RNAcentral is "bacterial SSU rRNA". It matches the Rfam family "Bacterial small subunit ribosomal RNA", at positions 28 to 493 of the family's 1533-position model. Lineage: Bacteria; Bacillati; Bacillota; Bacilli; Lactobacillales; Streptococcaceae. The record is from RNAcentral.
GACGAACGCUGGCGGCGUGCCUAAUACAUGCAAGUAGAACGCUGAAGGAGGAGCUUGCUCUUCUGGAUGAGUUGCGAACGGGUGAGUAACGCGUAGGUAACCUGCCUGGUAGCGGGGGAUAACUAUUGGAAACGAUAGCUAAUACCGCAUAAUAGUAGAUGUUGCAUGACAUUUACUUAAAAGGUGCAAUUGCAUCACUACCAGAUGGACCUGCGUUGUAUUAGCUAGUUGGUGGGGUAACGGCUCACCAAGGCGACGAUACAUAGCCGACCUGAGAGGGUGAUCGGCCACACUGGGACUGAGACACGGCCCAGACUCCUACGGGGGGCAGCAGUAGGGAAUCUUCGGCAAUGGACGGAAGUCUGACCGAGCAACGCCGCGUGAGUGAAGAAGGUUUUCGGAUCGUAAAGCUCUGUUGUAAGAGAAGAACGAGUGUGAGAGUGGAAAGUUCACACUGUGACGGUAUCUACCAGAAAGGAC